Molecule: ribosomal RNA, 468 nt
Filed under: uncultured bacterium
Lineage: Bacteria
Description: partial 16S ribosomal RNA
Rfam family: Bacterial small subunit ribosomal RNA
Source: RNAcentral
GACGAACGCUGGCGGCGUGCUUAACACAUGCAAGUCGAACGGAAAGGCCCUGCUUUUGUGGGGUGCUCGAGUGGCGAACGGGUGAGUAACACGUGAGUAACCUGCCCUUGACUUUGGGAUAACUUCAGGAAACUGGGGCUAAUACCGGAUAGGAGCUCCUGCUGCAUGGUGGGGGUUGGAAAGUUUCGGCGGUUGGGGAUGGACUCGCGGCUUAUCAGCUUGUUGGUGGGGUAGUGGCUUACCAAGGCUUUGACGGGUAGCCGGCCUGAGAGGGUGACCGGCCACAUUGGGACUGAGAUACGGCCCAGACUGCUACGGGAGGCAGCAGUGGGGAAUAUUGCACAAUGGGCGGAAGCCUGAUGCAGCAACGCCGCGUGCGGGAUGACGGCCUUCGGGUUGUAAACCGUUUUCGCCUGUGACGAAGCGUGAGUGACGGUAAUGGGUAAAGAAGCACCGGCUAACUACGUG